GGCGUGGUAGCUCAGCUGGUUAGAGCACUGGAUUCAUAACCCAGAGGUCAGCAGUUCAAGUCUGCUUCACGCUACUA
RNAcentral lists this transfer RNA (77 nucleotides) under Flavobacteriaceae bacterium. Its description in RNAcentral is "tRNA-Met". It matches the Rfam family "tRNA". From Rfam's summary of the family: Transfer RNA (tRNA) molecules are approximately 80 nucleotides in length. Their secondary structure includes four short double-helical elements and three loops (D, anti-codon, and T loops). Lineage: Bacteria; Pseudomonadati; Bacteroidota; Flavobacteriia; Flavobacteriales; Flavobacteriaceae. The record is from RNAcentral.